UUUGUUGUAGGAUUUUGGAGUUUUGCUCUUCUUGUCUUGCAGGUUCAGCUUUCCGUUUGGUGCGUCGUGUUUGUACUAUUUCUGGACUGUGUUACGUCCACUCUUCAUGGUUCUCAUGGAUUGUUUAUUUGCUGGAUUACCUUGUUGUAAAUGAACUACUUGUCUUGCAGGUUCAGCUUUCCGUUUGGUGCGUCGUGUUUGUACUAUUUCUGGACUGUGUUACGUCCACUCUUCAUGGUUCUCAUGGAUUGUUUAUUUGCUGGAUUACCUUGUUGUAAAUGAACUCCUGUUGUAAAUUAAUUUUCUAUCCCACUUGAAACAAUCUAUGUUAUGUAAAACGAUUGUCAUACGGAUUAUAAC
RNAcentral lists this long non-coding RNA (360 nucleotides) under Lathyrus oleraceus (garden pea). RNAcentral's name for it is "Pisum sativum (pea) long non-coding RNA (PSAT_LNC005873)". The record is from RNAcentral. Lineage: Eukaryota; Viridiplantae; Streptophyta; Magnoliopsida; Fabales; Fabaceae.